Molecule: non-coding RNA, 135 nt
Organism: Triticum aestivum (bread wheat)
Lineage: Eukaryota; Viridiplantae; Streptophyta; Magnoliopsida; Poales; Poaceae
Source: Rfam
UUAAUACUCCAUCCGUUCGAAAAUACUUGUCAUCAAAAUGAAUAAAAAGAGAUGUAUCUAGAACUAAAAUACAUCUAGAUACAUUAUCUUUUGUCCAUUUUCAUGACAAGUAUUUUCGGACGGAGGGAGUACUGG